Long non-coding RNA from Apis florea (little honeybee), 2097 nucleotides. RefSeq lists it as uncharacterized. Lineage: Eukaryota; Metazoa; Arthropoda; Insecta; Hymenoptera; Apidae. The record is from RefSeq and is a predicted model, not a curated record.
CUCCUAGAAAUAACAGAAAGCGACUACGUAUUAGAUUUCUCUUUGUUCGAUGUUAUUUUUUUUUUUUUUCAGCAAACGGAUGUUUUUAUUUCGUCGAAAAAUUAACUGUGAAAGAUAUACACUGGUUGAGAAAGAUCAAUCGAUACAAUAAUCGAUAUAUAAUUGAAAUAUAUUUUGAAUAGCAUUUAAAUUAUAUCUGCGCGUAUCCCUUGCAAACAAGAGGUAGAAGGCAGAAGCGUGAAACGGAGAUGCAGAUUGUAAGAUGAUAGAACGAGAGAUCGCGUGGAAUCUCGUUUCAGAUAUCUCCCUUUCUCACGCGCUCACUUCUUUCCUCUAUAGCUUUCACGGGAAAUACCAUCUUCUCGUCUUUCUAUAAACGAAAAGAGUUCCGACACUGUGCAUGCUCGGAAAGAGUGUGCUAGAAGGGAGGAAAAAUGAUAUAGAAGAGGAAGGAAAAAAGAAAAAAAAGAAGGAAAAUCUCGAGGGAAAGUUCGAGCUUCCUUAACGGUAUCGGGAUUUUUUUAUGCAUCAGAGAGAUUGAGGGGGGAAGGGGAGGGAGAGAAAUAAUGGGGCGCGAUUUUCUCGACGUUCAAUUGAAUCGUUAAAUUUGAACGCACUAUAGCGUGCUUGUGCACGCAGGUCACGUGUGCCUCCUAUUCUUCUCUGCCAUUAUACCACGGAAUCUUCACCUUUGAUCUCGUCUCUUUUGUUUUCCUCGUCAAGCCAUCCAUCUUUCCUUUCUUUCUCUUCGUUCGUCUUUCCUUCCUUAUUUUUUUUUUUUUUUCCCCCUUUUGAAUUUUGAAACCGCGUUCCAAAAUUCGCGAAAAUUUUUUCCCAUCGGACGAGAGAAUUGCAUGUGGAUACACAGUGAGAGUGAAAAGUGAGUAUAUAUACAUUUUGAAAGACAAGGGAUUUAUUUGAUGAAUCUUACUUUUUGUGUGUAUUGGAAAAUUGAUCGAAAAAGUGCAAACUAUAUAAUAAGCGUUUCUAAUAUAUUAUAUUUUGACGUUUUUACGAUUCAUUUGCUCGUUACAUUCUCGUGCCGCUCGCGUCGCUCGUGUCGCGGUAAUUAUAGCAUCGCGCAUAUUCACCAUGCGGAUACAGUGAAAUCAGGUUAACCUGUUACAUUUCUCGCAAGCCGUUAUCUUCCUUUGCAUGUUCAAGGCCGCGGCAUGCAAUGACCAGUAAAAUCCACUCAAGCGGUUAACGUACUUACAGUUGAUUCCAAAGAUAUUCUCAGCCGUACCAGGAUAUUCUCUGAUAUUUCACGAAUAAUAUUACGUAUCGAUCGGGAAAAAGAUGCUGAAUAUACUUUUGGGAUCAACUGUAUCUACUUAAUUACAACCCUCGAUGCGUUAUACGUAUACGCGCCUAUUCUUUCACUUAUUUUCGAUUUCUUUUACGCGUAAAUUCUAAUAACGAUGAAAUAAAUAUUAUUUUGUUCUUCCAUUUUUCUUUUUAUAUAUUUUCUUCUAACUAAAUAUAGUUUUUCUGGUUUUUCAAUUUACACCGCGAUCCGAAUACGUCUAAAAUAUCUAUCCAAUGAAGAGAAACUUAACCUCACUUUUAUUGCGAAUCAUCGAGUUAUUUAAUUAUCUAUUACUUUCUAUUAUCUAGGACGAUUGUUACGAAGAUUUAUUUAUUUUCUUUUUUUUUUUUUUAGAAAUAUAUAAUAUCUAUAAAAUAGGCAAAAAAUUCUAGAAUAGAUCAAAUAUUAUUAAUGUCAAAAUUGUGAGUCUGUGACAGCAUAACAAAUAUAUUUAUUCACUCCUUUCAUAAGAUUUAAAUCCGUUGGAUUAGCUUUUAUGCGCAUUUCAAAAGUACAAUGAAACAGUUAUACGUAUAAAUAUUAUCAGAUGAAUUACAACAGCAAGCUAUGAGAACUAUGAUCAAGAGAUAAAUCUGAUGAGGAUAAAGCUGAAGACUUAUACACUUAUAAACUUUAUACAUUCAUUUUAUUUCUUUUAUUCGCACCUGUUCGUCGACACUUGUAACGAACGGUAUCCCAUCACGCGUCAUAUGGAAAUCAAACGUGAAAAUACUCGAAGUUUAUCGCAUCCCCGUGUUUUUUUUUCUUUCUUUUUUUUUUUUUUUUUU